This 517-nucleotide long non-coding RNA is filed under the name Zonotrichia albicollis (white-throated sparrow). RNAcentral's name for it is "lncRNA (ENSZALG00000004092.1)". Lineage: Eukaryota; Metazoa; Chordata; Aves; Passeriformes; Passerellidae. The record is from RNAcentral.
AUUUUUUUUUUCUUUGGGAGUGCAUGGCCAGCAGCACCAUCGGGGUUUGCUCUGAAUCUCCUCAGGAAACAAAAGUAUCCCAGAUGCUAGCACACCUGGUAACACAUCCAUAGAGCUGGCCUCUCACAGCAGCAUAGGUGUUUGUGUCACACUUUUCACAUGCUGCUGUUUGCCAACCCAGAGUGCUCUUGGAGAGUUGUGUCCCAGUGAAAAGAUUGGAAAUCCAAUAAUUCCUUGCACUACAGCUGGUGGGACUGCGGCCUUUCUGAUUUUUGUAGCAGCUUCCAGUUCAUGUGUGUGGAAGUGGCCAGGGCAGAGAAUGGGGUCCAUGCCACCCAGAAAUCCUCUUCCCUUGCAGUUUGGUGCUUCACUCAUGAGCCUGUUCAUAGCUCCAUGGGUUUUUAAAAGGAGAUUGGAAAGGUUUGAUGAAACAGAGAGAGAGAAACAGUUUGCAGAAGCACAAAAACAAAUCUACAGAAAUGUUGAUGGAGGUGACACAACUCAUCCCUUCACCUAA